RNAcentral lists this unclassified non-coding RNA (355 nucleotides) under soil metagenome. RNAcentral's name for it is "partial contains 5.8S ribosomal RNA, internal transcribed spacer 2, and large subunit ribosomal RNA". The stretch from base 1 to 120 matches the Rfam family "5.8S ribosomal RNA", at positions 35 to 154 of the family's 154-position model. The record is from RNAcentral.
GAUGAAGAACGCAGCGAAAUGCGAUAAGUAAUGUGAAUUGCAGAAUUCAGUGAAUCAUCGAAUCUUUGAACGCACAUUGCGCCCGCCAGUAUUCUGGCGGGCAUGCCUGUCCGAGCGUCAUUUCAACCCUCGAACCCCUCCGGGGGGUCGGCGUUGGGGAUCGGCCCUGCCUCUUGGCGGUGGCCGUCUCCGAAAUACAGUGGCGGUCUCGCCGCAGCCUCUCCUGCGCAGUAGUUUGCACACUCGCAUCGGGAGCGCGGCGCGUCCACAGCCGUUAAACACCCAACUUCUGAAAUGUUGACCUCGGAUCAGGUAGGAAUACCCGCUGAACUUAAGAAUAUCAAUAAGCGGAGGA